Molecule: transfer RNA, 72 nt
Filed under: Camelus ferus (Wild Bactrian camel)
Lineage: Eukaryota; Metazoa; Chordata; Mammalia; Artiodactyla; Camelidae
Rfam family: tRNA
About the family: Transfer RNA (tRNA) molecules are approximately 80 nucleotides in length. Their secondary structure includes four short double-helical elements and three loops (D, anti-codon, and T loops). Further hydrogen bonds mediate the characteristic L-shaped molecular structure. tRNAs have two regions of fundamental functional importance: the anti-codon, which is responsible for specific mRNA codon recognition, and the 3' end, to which the tRNAs corresponding amino acid is attached (by aminoacyl-tRNA synthetases). tRNAs cope with the degeneracy of the genetic code in two manners: having more than one tRNA (with a specific anti-codon) for a particular amino acid; and 'wobble' base-pairing, i.e. permitting non-standard base-pairing at the 3rd anti-codon position.
Source: Rfam by way of RNAcentral
GAGGGUAUAACUCAGUGACAGAGCAUGUGCUUAGCAUGCAUGAGAUCCAGGGCUCAAUUCCCAGUACCUCCA